CGUAGGGUGCGAGCGUUGCCCGGAUUUAUUGGGCGUAAAGGGCGCGUAGGCGGCUCGGCACGUCCGUUGUGAAAUCGCCCGGCUCAACUGGGCGGGGUCAGCGGAUACGGUCGAGCUUGAGCAAGCUAGGGGGUAAUGGAAUUCCCGGUGUAGUGGUGGAAUGCGUAGAUAUCGGGAGGAACACCAGUGGCGAAGGCGGUUACCUGGGGCUUUGCUGACGCUGAUGCGCGAAAGCGUGGGGAGCGAUCCGGAUUAGAUACCCGGGUAGUCCACGCCGUAAACGAUGCGGACUAGGUGUCGGGGGUAUCGACCCCCUCGGCGCCGCAGCUAACGCAUUAAGUCCGCCGCCUGGGGAGUACGGCCGCAAGGCUA
This 372-nucleotide ribosomal RNA is filed under the name uncultured organism. Its description in RNAcentral is "bacterial SSU rRNA". It matches the Rfam family "Bacterial small subunit ribosomal RNA", at positions 526 to 896 of the family's 1533-position model. The record is from RNAcentral.